GUUUGAACUGUUACAUCUCUGGUAAAGAAAAAAGAGAGAAGGAAAGGCUUUUUGAUGGUUUCCAUCUUUUGGUCUGGAGUUUUCUCUAAAGGUGUACAUCGUUUGCUUGGUCAUCUGAAUCUGUGAUGGCAUGGGCUACAUCUGUCCUCCACAA
This is a small nucleolar RNA of Arabidopsis thaliana (thale cress), 154 nucleotides long. NCBI's taxonomy places the organism in Eukaryota, Viridiplantae, Streptophyta, Magnoliopsida, Brassicales, Brassicaceae. The record is from RefSeq.